UGGAGAUGAGGAGGUCAAACUGAGGGGCCUUUGUGUUGGAGGAAUUGCCCAUAUAAUGUACUGAAGUCACUGAGGAUGAUGGUGGACCUUCAGGAGAGAGGAGGAUCAUGGGCUAAAGAUUAAAGUCUUCACGACUGCCUGGUGGAAAUACAGUAUUAUAUAAUGACAUGCUAUUAUGCAUCUCUACCUAACUCCUCGUCUGGUGAUGCCAUAUUGAAAUCAGCCUUACUGAGAGUAUUUACACACUGCUGAAGUCAGUAAAUGCUACAAAUCAAGGCUUGAAUGUAACCUACAUGAGAAAGAGUUGCCUUGCUCACUGCCGUAUCCCAGUAUCCCAAGCACCUUGGAGAUGCUCUAUGAAUACUGAAUGAAUCUGAGAGGAAACUAGCCCGAAGGGGGAAGGCUCUGGAAGCAAGCCCUCAUGGACCAAUGGAGAAAAAGGAAACUGAAUCUUGGGGAGAUUAAGCAACUCUUUCAAGGUCCACUGGGGAGCAGCAGAACCAGAGUUCGAAGGAAACCUUUCUGAAUCUGACGUCUGCCCCUUCUAAAUUAGGACUCUUAUCUAUCAGCCUGUGAGAAAAAAUACAGAAAGCAUCAUUCAGGCAACACAUGAACUGAAGACACUGAGACUUCGCUAACCUUCCUCGCACACAAGGUCCUAAAGGAACUACCACACGCAUGUCCACAUUUGAUGCACAUAACAGACUCUCACCGCAUUGAAAUAAACCCCAGUAUGAUCAUAA
Molecule: non-coding RNA, 743 nt
Filed under: Pan troglodytes (chimpanzee)
Lineage: Eukaryota; Metazoa; Chordata; Mammalia; Primates; Hominidae
Source: RNAcentral